Molecule: non-coding RNA, 72 nt
Organism: Schistocerca cancellata (South American locust)
Lineage: Eukaryota; Metazoa; Arthropoda; Insecta; Orthoptera; Acrididae
Source: the annotation of a RefSeq genome assembly
GCCAGGGUGGCGUAGUGGUUAGCGCAUGUGCCUCGUGAACACGAGACCUGGGUUCGAACUCCAGCCUUGGUA